RNAcentral lists this ribosomal RNA (727 nucleotides) under Salmonella enterica. RNAcentral describes it as "bacterial SSU rRNA". It matches the Rfam family "Bacterial small subunit ribosomal RNA", at positions 1 to 719 of the family's 1533-position model. The record is from RNAcentral. RNAcentral also lists the same sequence under 1 other name. Lineage: Bacteria; Pseudomonadati; Pseudomonadota; Gammaproteobacteria; Enterobacterales; Enterobacteriaceae.
AAAUUGAAGAGUUUGAUCAUGGCUCAGAUUGAACGCUGGCGGCAGGCCUAACACAUGCAAGUCGAACGGUAGCACAGAGAGCUUGCUCUCGGGUGACGAGUGGCGGACGGGUGAGUAAUGUCUGGGAAACUGCCCGAUGGAGGGGGAUAACUACUGGAAACGGUAGCUAAUACCGCAUAACGUCGCAAGACCAAAGUGGGGGACCUUCGGGCCUCACACCAUCGGAUGUGCCCAGAUGGGAUUAGCUAGUAGGUGGGGUAACGGCUCACCUAGGCGACGAUCCCUAGCUGGUCUGAGAGGAUGACCAGCCACACUGGAACUGAGACACGGUCCAGACUCCUACGGGAGGCAGCAGUGGGGAAUAUUGCACAAUGGGCGCAAGCCUGAUGCAGCCAUGCCGCGUGUAUGAAGAAGGCCUUCGGGUUGUAAAGUACUUUCAGCGAGGAGGAAGGCGUUGUGGUUAAUAACCACAGCGAUUGACGUUACUCGCAGAAGAAGCACCGGCUAACUCCGUGCCAGCAGCCGCGGUAAUACGGAGGGUGCAAGCGUUAAUCGGAAUUACUGGGCGUAAAGCGCACGCAGGCGGUUUGUUAAGUCAGAUGUGAAAUCCCCGGGCUCAACCUGGGAACUGCAUUUGAAACUGGCAAGCUUGAGUCUCGUAGAGGGGGGUAGAAUUCCAGGUGUAGCGGUGAAAUGCGUAGAGAUCUGGAGGAAUACCGGUGGCGAA